CAGGCGCCGCGGUAAUACAGAGGGUGCGAGCGUUAAUCGGAUUUACUGGGCGUAAAGCGUGCGUAGGCGGCUUCUUAAGUCGGAUGUGAAAUCCCUGAGCUUAACUUAGGAAUUGCAUUCGAUACUGGGAAGCUAGAGUAUGGGAGAGGAUGGUAGAAUUCCAGGUGUAGCGGUGAAAUGCGUAGAGAUCUGGAGGAAUACCGAUGGCGAAGGCAGCCAUCUGGCCUAAUACUGACGCUGAGGUACGAAAGCAUGGGGAGCAAACAGGAUUAGAUACCCCUGUAGUCCCUGUCUCUUAUAC
Molecule: ribosomal RNA, 301 nt
Filed under: uncultured bacterium
Lineage: Bacteria
Description: partial 16S ribosomal RNA
Rfam family: Bacterial small subunit ribosomal RNA
Source: RNAcentral